AGUCAUAGGGCUACUGAAACACAAGGUGACGAGAACUAUUAGGCAAUUGAGUGCAUUCCCUGCAGGGCUGCUCCCACUUCUAUCUGACUUGGGUCUAGAUGACUCAAGUGAUUCCCGAGGGGAAAAUAAUCUAUGUGGAACAGCUGUCAUGAGCAGGCCUUCUGCUGCUCUUCAGCCUCAAUUUCAGCCUGCUACUUCCCGUGACAUCAUUCAGUGAUUCCUCCCUUUAAGGGGACAGUUUUCUCUUGUAUUACAGGUGACUACUUGAAGGUGGCUAGACGAGAGCAUACUGCCACCACUCUUUAUUUGGAGGCCUGUAACCUGUCUUGAGUGUGUUGCAGGAAGACUCAGUUACAGUGUUCCCUGAAUAUGUAGCUUUCCAUUACAAUAGUAUGCAAGCCAAGAUGAAACCACCUCUGUUUGGGUUUCAGCAGCUGUCUGCCUACGGAAGGCUCCAGAGUCCCUGACGCAUAUUUAUAUCUCCACUUCACUGAAGUCACAAGGAACAAACACACACCUGCCAUUUCCCAAAUCUCAUAAAACAUAUAAAUGGAUGAGACCAAAGAGAGGCAUGAGAUUCCAUUCUUAUGGUUCACAGGAAGCACCUGGCACACAGUAACUAUUAUUAAUUUCUGCACUGGAGGCAUCAGGAAAGCCUUCACGCUAUAGGGGGCCCUUUUAAGUUAAGAAGUUGGAGAGCAAGCCUCGGGGAAAGCAAAGAGAUAACUUAGUAGAAUGGAGCAACCAUACGGGAACAGUGAGAGUCCAUGGAUCUCCCUGGGCUAAGAUCAUGUAUGGAUUUGGCAAUCUGGGGUGGAAGCCACAUGUGCUGUUAUUAAGUGGAAAUGUCUCGUGAACAUGUGGAAAGUGAUGACUGGAACUUCAGAUGAAAGUCAAAGCUGGAGAUAGGAGAUUCAGAAGUCACCCCACCAAAGAAGGAAUGGUUAAAGCUAUAAGAACUAAUGAGAUCCUAUUUAUUUGCUUAUUCAAUCAACAUAUGUAGAACUAAAUGCUAAGAAUGUAAUGAUAAAUAAGACAGAAAGGGACCUUGCCCAUAUGGUAUUUACAAUCUACUGCCAGUUCAUAAUCUCCUAAAAAAUAAUGUAGAGAACAAUAACAGAAUCAAAGAAAUCUUGAACGUCUAUAUUUAAGGGGUUGAAUGUAAAAGAAAAGGCCUUAAAGGAGGCAGAAAAAUAGCAAUGAGAAAAGUUUGGGAAUUCUAAAACAAGACAGUAUUUCAGAGGAAGAAAACGCAGGUAAUACAUGGGCAAGUUUCACACACAGAGGUGAUGCAUCCUGGUGACCAAUAUUACAAGGAAGAGAGAUGAUGACUGAGGACAGGCUGGUGGACUUGAUUUGAGGUCAACGGUAUGAGGAUAAUUUCAGCAGAGUGGUGGGAUGGAGCGAAACAGCAGGUGUGUCAAUAAUGAGUUAAGCUUUGAGAAAGGGGAGACUUCAGAUGCAGACAACUCAUUCCUGAAUCUGUGCUUCAAAAACAAGAAAAAGCCCAAGAUGUCAGGAUAUCUGCAGGGUCAAGCAAAGCAUUUUUUUCACGAUGGUAAUAGGUAAAAGAGAUUUCUCUAGCCCGCUGGUCUAAGGAUCAGACAGAGGGUGGAGGUGCUUGAUAAGGAUGGUCAUGGCAUUUUUUGCAGACUGAAAUGAUAUUUGAAAACUAAAUGCUAGCCUGUGUUACAGCUACUUACCCGCUGAGGAUCAAACGUACAUUUAUUUGCCCUAUUGCCCAACUUAUGGCUAUGCCAGUAAUGUCCUCUUUUUUUCCUUAUCAUUUCUUUUCAGCUUGUUUUCCCAAACUGUGGUGUUGCCUUGCCCUUGAGAACCCAGCUGAGGUCUAGACUGUUUCAUGGAUCACCUAAGCUUGGAGCUACAGUUGGGCUGCAAAGUUGUUCCUCUAGUGCUGAUACAAGAACAUAGCUGGUCCUCUUGUUCAUAGUGGUAAAAUAUUUUUAAAAUCUGACAUAAACACAACAUAUUAAUUACAGAAAUGAUGGAGAGAGAAUAAAGCUGGGACCCCACAAA
Molecule: long non-coding RNA, 2037 nt
Organism: Homo sapiens (human)
Lineage: Eukaryota; Metazoa; Chordata; Mammalia; Primates; Hominidae
Gene: ALKBH3-AS1
Product: ALKBH3 antisense RNA 1
Source: Ensembl